AGCGUAGACGGCACGGCAAGCCAGAUGUGAAAGCCCGGGGCUCAACCCCGGGACUGCAUUUGGAACUGCUGAGCUAGAGUGUCGGAGAGGCAAGUGGAAUUCCUAGUGUAGCGGUGAAAUGCGUAGAUAUUAGGAGGAACACCAGUGGCGAAGGCGGCUUGCUGGACGAUGACUGACGUUGAGGCUGAAAGCGUGGGGGAGCAAACA
This 207-nucleotide ribosomal RNA is filed under the name uncultured bacterium. Its description in RNAcentral is "partial 16S ribosomal RNA". It matches the Rfam family "Bacterial small subunit ribosomal RNA", at positions 568 to 774 of the family's 1533-position model. The record is from RNAcentral.